Molecule: non-coding RNA, 110 nt
Filed under: Rhodoferax ferrireducens
Lineage: Bacteria; Pseudomonadati; Pseudomonadota; Betaproteobacteria; Burkholderiales; Comamonadaceae
Description: TPP sequence
Rfam family: TPP riboswitch aptamer (THI element)
About the family: Vitamin B(1) in its active form thiamin pyrophosphate (TPP) is an essential coenzyme that is synthesised by coupling of pyrimidine and thiazole moieties in bacteria. The previously detected thiamin-regulatory element, thi box was extended, resulting in a new, highly conserved RNA secondary structure, the THI element, which is widely distributed in eubacteria and also occurs in some archaea. Analysis of operon structures identified a large number of new candidate thiamin-regulated genes, mostly transporters, in various prokaryotic organisms.
Source: RNAcentral
AGCGGCUUGUCGGGGUGCCUUGGACGUUAGUCAGGGCUGAGACCACUGUUGUGGGACCCGCUGAACCUGAUCGGGGUCAUGCCCGCGUAGGGAACAACGCAAUUGGCACC